Molecule: ribosomal RNA, 282 nt
Filed under: uncultured prokaryote
Description: partial 16S ribosomal RNA
Rfam family: Bacterial small subunit ribosomal RNA
Source: RNAcentral
UACGUAGGUGGCAAGCGUUGUCCGGAUUUACUGGGCGUAAAGGGAGCGUAGGCGGAUUUUUAAGUGGGAUGUGAAAUACCCGGGCUUAACCUGGGUGCUGCAUUCCAAACUGGAAGUCUAGAGUACAGGAGGGGAAAGCGGAAUUCCUAGUGUAGCGGUGAAAUGCGUAGAGAUUAGGAAGAACACCAGUGGCGAAGGCGGCUUUCUGGACUGUAACUGACGCUGAGGCUCGAAAGCGUGGGGAGCGAACAGGAUUAGAUACCCUGGUAGUCCCUGAGCGGG